GGACUACACGGGUUUCUAAUCCCGUUUGCUCCCCUGGCUUUCGCACAUCAGCGUCAGAAAUCAGCCAGUGCUCCGCUUUCGCCGCCGGCGUUCCUCCCGAUAUCAACGCAUUUCACCGCUCCACCGGGAAUUCCAAGCACCCCUCUGAUCCUCAAGCAACGCAGUAUCGGGCGCAGUUCCUCGGUUAGGCCGAGGGAUUUCACACCCGACUUACGCCGCCGCCUACGUGCGCUUUAUGCCCAGUGAUUCCGAACAACGCUCGCCACCUUCGUCUUACCGCGGCUGCUGGCAC
This 292-nucleotide ribosomal RNA is filed under the name uncultured bacterium. Its description in RNAcentral is "partial 16S ribosomal RNA". RNAcentral also lists the same sequence under 1 other name. The record is from RNAcentral.